UGUUGAUUCUAGCACAGACCCUCCAGACGGAGCGCCGUCCGUAGCCAGCUCUGUGAACAAAUCCAAUGAGGACAGUACCCAAGACACGCCUGCUACCUCUGUGGAGCAAAGCCCAGAGAUGAAAACCAAUGAAGAGCAGUCCAUCUCCGACGACACCUUGACAGAGUCCCUUAAAGAGCCAAAUGCAGACAACAGCAGCAGUAGCGCUGUGAUAGAGGAGGAUCCAAACGACACCUUCUCUAACAUUAGUCUCAACAGCCAAGUGUAAGACAGACAGGCCGGUCUCUUCCAUUGCGGUCCCACAGAAACAUGAUUGGAGAAAGGCUCUGCGAACUCCUAUGGUUGAAAUGACAAAGCGUUGCUCAGGUUAUCAGUGUAUGUCUUCUUAUAAACUGUUCAAGUUGUGCAGCAGAUUUCAGAAAGUUCUAGGCAGUUAAACCUUUUUUCAUAUCAAAAUACCACUUUUUGUAAUAUGGGAGAUUCAAGUAUUGUUUAUAUUAUCCGUUUGUACUUUUUUCCUCAAGUGUAUAUUAUGGUAUAGUGCUUAAUCUGUAAAUCAUGACGUGCAAGAGCACAAAGCUGGUGAUGAUCCAGCGUGUCAGCUGUAAAAAGAGACGUCACUGGAAAUAUCAUUACGUUGGUGCAGCAUGACAUCGGUUAGACGCCACGGAAGUGUUAUAUUCAUGAUCUGUGCAUAUCUAUAUGUUAUACCAAGGACCAAAUGAAAUGAUUUAACAUUUAUUGCAAACCUAUGCAUUAGCCUUCAAUCACAAUCUAGUCAUUGCAAUCCCAUAGAGCAAAUACCUACUGUAAAUACUUGGCAUAUGUAGAAUAUUCCAGUGGCGCAACAAUCCCCCAUUAACCAGGGUGAACUACCAAACAAUUUCAAGAGCAAAUGCGUGUAAAUAUGCAUAUUCGGAGACAAAUAAUAGCAAAAAAAGAAAAGAAAAGGGUUACAGUUACUGUUUAGCCCGCAUUGAAUUACAGCUACCGCACCGUCACUUCGACAGAGGCUUUUAGUUCACAGAUGUGUUACAUGAUCAUCAUCCCACGAGCUAUCAACAAGUCUAUCACCCAUUCUCUGGUGGUUGGUGAAAAUGGAAAAAUAAUCAAAAAUUACUUAAGCUUGCCAUCAGAGGUUUGUGAUCCUAGAAAGUGUGCAAAACAGUUCAAAACUGAGAGGUUCUGAGUGCUGAUCACGGUUUCCUCUUUCUGCACCAUCCACUGUCAUGACAAAUGGUCAACUGCGAUGUCUGUUAAGAUUGAUCUUUUAAAAUGUCUGUCAUACUGAACCAGUACUACCAUGCUCAUGUCAUUUAAAUGGUUUGAAUUAAAACGCUUCAUGUGUGGUGGUGUAGGUCCUUUCUUUGAAAUGAUUUGUUUUCCCAUACAAAAAAAGAGCUCUUCUUGCUUUUCUAGGUGCUCUAAAAAAA
Molecule: long non-coding RNA, 1433 nt
Organism: Lampris incognitus (smalleye Pacific opah)
Lineage: Eukaryota; Metazoa; Chordata; Actinopteri; Lampriformes; Lampridae
Exons: 3
Source: RefSeq, a predicted model, not a curated record